UUUAAAAAAUAAUAAAAAGAUUAGAAUUUAAAUAUUUUUAGUUAUAGUUUAGGGUAUAUGAUUAAUUUUUAAAAUUAGUUUUCAAAUUUGGAGUUUAGAAUAAGGUUUGAGUAAAGAGUUUCAAAGUUAAAGGUUUGGGGUAUUGAUUUAAGAAUUGAGGUUAAUUUCUAAAAAUAUUAAUUUUUGAGUUUAUAUUUAAGUUUGAAGUUAAAUUUGAGACUUGAUAUUAAAAUAUUAGCGUUUAAAUUUUUUGUUAGAAUUUAGGGGUUGUGUUUAAAAUUUUGGUUUUAGAGUUUAGGAUUUUUGGAGGCAAAUAAAAUGGAGUGAGAGGAAAAAUGAAACAAGGGUGAGAGGGAAAAUCAAUUAUUUUCCGCUUUAGUUUUGCAUAGCGUUUGCAUUUUCACAAACUAUAUCUAAAAGCAAGAGGUAUGUCAACCAUAGCAUAAUCGAAAAAAAUGUUAUCAUAUUCUGCUAUUAAUACUCACAUUUCCUGUAGUGCUCCUAACCUAGAACAAUGAAUAAAAGAAAGUGUAGCCAUCAAAAAUGGUUUAGAAAACACAUAAAUAGGGUUCUGAGUCGUCCAGAGGUAUUCUGGUAACUUGUGGUAACUUCUGGGCAUAAGUCGGCCAUGUAAUAGGCUCGGCCCGUCUUGUAGGAUCACCGUCGAACGACAGCAAGGCUGUGUCGUCGAUCAACAUUCUUUCAUCUCCUCGGCAGCUUCAUCUCGCGAGGCAGACAUACCUCUCUUCAGUAAAACGGUCAUAACUUCUACUAUAGGAUGCUGAUUGACCUCAAACCGGUGGAAUUGGAAAACUCACUCAAAGAUCUAUCUUUUGUAAAAAUGAUGGGCUCAAUUGCACCGUGGGUAGGUCUCUCCGCCCAUAGCUAAACAUCUGAUGCGUCAUCGCAGUUUUGCACCUCAAAAGGCUCCAAAAUCUUCAAAGUUUUCCAAAACGUACCUGAACCUGAAACACUCUAAAACAUACUCCAAACCCAUAUAAUAUACUCUAAAACAUUCAUAUACCAUAGCUAAAAAUGGGUAAAAUCCAUGGUAUAUCAUUAGAUUACAUUGGCAUUAUCAACAGCUCGCAUUCCUCUCUGAACAAUCUUUAACAGCAAUUAUGGACUAUCUGGUCUACUGUUUUGGAGAAAAUUUUGAGUGCUUUCUAAUGAGCGACUGCUAGAAAUCUAAUCGCCGCUAAGUACACCCUCUCGCAGCGGCCUGUGUAAAGACCGUGAGACCAGUCACUUGUGAAAUUCUUCUUCGUGACAUCUCAACCUCUUCGUUUUGUCUCAAGCACCUAGCAAAAAUAUAAAAUACACUAGAAAAAAAAAAAGCUAAGAUAAAAUGUGUACAAGAGUACCAUGGGAUUGCCUCCCAAGACAACUCGCUUUAAGUCACUUAGAUUGAAUUUCUUUUCGAUUUCAAGUAGGGGAAGUUCCUUCCUCUUCAAAUGUUGUUGUCAUUUAGAGAUUUUUAGCCUUUGGCCAUUCACUGUGAAUUCACCAUCACAAUUGUUCCAUAGCACCGUUGCUCCAUAUGUUCUAACUUUUUUUUUUUAUCUUAAAUGGACCGGACAAUCUUGAUUUGAGCUUCCUAGGAAUAGGAAGCAGCUUUAACCAAGAAUUAUACAACAACACUUGAUAUCCAAUAGUAUAUCAACUCCCAAGGCUUAUCCUUCGCUUGCCCUCAAGCAAAGCAUCGGAAAUAAUUUGUGAAAGAGGUUUUAAAACUGAAGAGACUCUUUUUUUCUUUAGAACUACUGCCAUCACCUCUACAGUGUUGCAAGCCACAUCAGAUCAGUUUCAACUUCAGAGGCACUCCCAUGUACUUAGUCUUAGCUUAGCAACCUGACCAUCCAGCCCACAUCUUACUAGAUACCGCCUGACAUACCCCUCAAUUGACCUCAUUUCUACAAUAAAUGUACAGGCUUUAUCUUGAGAAUAUCGAUCACUAGACACAUGGACUCUUACCCCCAACAAGUAUUUGAACACACAUGUAGUAUUUUCUGAUCCUUUUCCACUCUCUUCUAUUUUCUAUGAAUUUAUUAUUUUUUCUUUUCUCUUUUUUUUUCUAUUUUUUAUUUUAUAUUUUCUUUUUCAGCUCUGCAAAGUGUAGGUGAAUAAUGGGGUAAUAGAAAAUUUUCCUACCCCUCACUUUCAACAAUGUGUGAUCAUCCCAUCGAAUUAGAAUAGUAGAUUCAUAGGAAAUUUUUCAACCCCUCUACAUCUCACGGAAUCAUGUCAAUCCUUCCUUUGCUUUUCUUACUUUAUAGAUGCCAAAGAGAGGAGAGAGGAGAACCAGAAACACACAGAAUUUUACCUUCCAUACUUGCAUGAGCAAAUCUGAUCCAAUGUAUACCAAGCCCCAAAACAAUUGAUUGAUGUAGAUUAAGAUUGGAAGUUAGAUUUGGCUCCUUCAGACAUUCUCAGCAAGCGUGGAUGUUACUGGCAGGUUGAUCAAUUUUGGUGUUUCUAUUCAAUACACCCUACAAUCAGUAAAUCAAGGAAUGGUGCUUGAGAGUAGUUAGAGAGUUAGGAAAAUUGAAAAAGUUCAUCACCCCUUUUUUGACUCUAUAAAAUUAGUCGGCUAACACUCAAAACAAAAUACAAUGUCAGUACCCACAUCCCCCCUAGACAUAAACAAAAUUGUCUCCAGUGUUAUACAGUCUGAGAUUGGUGAAGGAAAUAAAUAAAAGCUGAAAAUUUAUCAAGGAAAUUCGAGUAUUACCUAUCGUCUGAUAGUAGUGUCGAUCAACACAGUGAUGUGGUGAUGUAGUGUCGACUGACACCGGGCGAUUUGUCGUUCGAUGCUCGUUUAGAACUAGUCUUCCUCAGAACUUUUUGUUUUUCCUUUUUUUUAUAUUUUUAAUAAAUAAAAAAGUCAAAAUGUCUAAUAAUAGGUUGCCUCUCACUCAAAGCUUUUUAGAGUCUUUAUUUUGAAGUUUUGAAGUUUUUGGGCUAGUUUCAAGGUAAAUGAGAACUUGUUUUUCAACAAGUCCCAACAUCUUCAUCACUCAUCUCGAACCAGAUGCCCACAAAUCUUUUAUGGUUUUUCCUCCUUUGGUUCUUUGUUCUUCUUGCUUCUUGAUAGUAGCACUAAUCUAAUUCACUCGCAGCUUUAGACUCUCAUGUCAGUUGCUACCCUAACUAAUCAUGUUGUUGAUUAUUUUACAUUAUUUGUCUUUUAGUGAAAAGGUAAUUUAGACACAUUAUUUUAAAAAUUUCCCACAAAUACAAUAUGUCUUAUAAUGUAACUGAAAAGACAAAAUAUGAUUUUUGGUAUAUUUUUUCAUAAGACAAUAUGUGCAUUUUUUUAAAACUGAUUAUAUAAUUUAUCGUCAAAUAAAUUUUAAAUUAAAGCUACACUAAGAAUCUAUGGAUUUUUUGACAUGUUAUUUUCAAAACAGUUUUCAGAUGUUAAUUUCAUGUUUUUUUUAAGAACUUUAAAUUUCAUUAAAGUUUGUUGAUUUAAGAUUUUGUUGACCUUAACUUUUGUUAAUUUAAAUACCAUUUUAAGUUUUGUUGAUUUUGAAUACCAUGACAAAUCAUACUUUUCAAACAUGAAAUCUUAAAAGUUGUUGACUUAUAAGAUUUAAAUGACUCCAUUUGAUUCUAUCAAUUUUCUUUUUAGUUAAAAAAUUAUUCUUAUAAGGGAAUAUACAUGUAUUAUGCUCAAACAAAUCUCAAAUUAUAAUUUUGUAUGGUAUCAGAAGUUUUUAAGUUUUACUAAGAUUUUAUUGAUUUUGAAAAGUUCAUCUAUAUAAACAACGAUCAUUCUUAGAUUAUUAGCUAUACAAAAAAUAAACUCAAAAGUAAAUUAUAUUGUAAAACCUUUUAUCAUAGGAUGAAGUCUUCAAAAUUGCACUUUGUUGUUCUUCUCAUCAUCAUUUCUUUCAUUCUUAAUAUUCAAUCUGCUCGUAAGUAUUCUUAUGUUUAUAUACAACAACAUGUUUUGUUUUCCUCAUAUAUGUAUAUAUAACUGUGUGUAUAUACCAAAAAUCUGUUUAUAGUUAUCAUUAUUUUAUAACAUAAUUACUAAGAUAUUAUGGCAAUCAUAUUAACCAGGAAUUAUCGAUGAUUCAUCAAGCGAUUGUGAAUUCAAAGGACCUUGUCAAAAGAAAACAGAUUGCUACGAGAGAUGUGGAGUAGGCAAACCAUCCUUCAAAAUUGCUUUGUGUGAACCUUAUGGAAGUUCACGUGUAUGUUGUUGUAUCUAAUUAUUUAUAGCCUUAUUUAAUAGAAGUUAUGUCUUUUUGUUUUAUCUGAAAGAAAAUAUAUAUAGCAAUAUGAUAUGCUUACACAGAACUACAUUUUUACUUACACUUUGGAUGUAUUUCAACAUAUAUCAAAUUACAUUUCUUCAAUAUAUAGAGGGUUAUAGAUAAAUCAAAUUAUGGAUGAUUAAUCAAGAGACUGAUAAUUAACUAUCAAAAAUAAUAGAUAAUCACAUAUUAAUAAUUUAUUUUAUUGGCGGGUGGGGUGAUUUAGAAUUUUUUUUAUCAUAUUUAGCAUAAAAUAUUAGACAUUUAUUAUAAAAUACUUAACUUUUGACUAGUCAAAUUUAUUUAUUUAUUUAAAUUUUUGUUCAAACAACAAUAUCAUAUCAGACGAAAACACAUUUUGCUAACGAUUUAAUUUAAAUCUAUGUAAAUAUCUAUUACAAUAAAUCUACCUUUUCUCCCAUCUCCUUUCGCCACCUCCGCAUUGACGGCUUCAAAAUUGGACACGUGGCAGGUCUAAGAAGUUUGCUGAACACAAUCGUUUUUGGUUUCUGUUUUCUACGAACCCAUUUAAUAAUUUGUAUAGAGGCCCAUAUUGGAAGCCUGUUAGAUGUUUGGAGCGAGAAGCUCGAUGACCAGACUUUCGUAACCCACGAUGGCCACUGUGCUUCCUCCACUUUCAGUUAUCUGAUUUAAUCAUGGCUGUAAUGAAUAAUUCUCUUCUGCUCAGCUUUCUCCACCUCCUCAAAUAAUCAUAUCUACUGCAUUUAUAAGGAGAUCGUUGCCCAGAUGGAAAGCUACUGUCUCUGAAACUCUUUCACCGAUGAAAUCUCCCAAAGCUCUUCCUUUCAAACAUGGCGACUUCCCAGAUCCACUUGUCUGAAUUGAAAAUCCGGACGCUGCAAACAAGCUGAAGAAAUGAGGCGAACUUAUUGGAGUUGAUAUGGUGUUAGUCAACGAGAUGGUGCUUAUUAACAAUCGGGUUCUCUAAUCUCUGUUUUCGAUUUAACGUUAAACUAAGUGGCUAUCCUAAAUUGGUUGACUUUGUUUCCUUUUAAUUUCAGUCGACUUUGAUUCAAGGUUCCAUCGCCGCAUAAAGGCUUAACACUUUCAAGAAUAACUUGAGGGAAGGAGGGAUGUACGAGCUUAAUGGCUUCAAAGUGGCUAGAAGCAACAUCCACUUCAAACUCGCCGACACACCGGUUUGAUUUGCAGGGGAAGAGUUGGUACCAAAAAAAAACUUGGUAUCCAAGAAUACAGGGAAGUCACGUAAAACAAUCAAAGAGCCUACCUAACCUCUUAAUAAGUCAUCACCCAACAGGAAGCGAAAAAGGAAGCCGAGACAUCAAUCGUUCUCUCCCAACGCCACCGGAGACAUCUCAGUGACGAUUCGAAGAGCGCUUACUUAUAAUCAGCCUACUGGAUCUGCGAGCCAUGUUAGUAUAACUGAAGACAAAUCAUCCAGAUGUGUGUUAGAUUCUAAUUUGAGGUUUAAUUUGUUGAAAUUAUGGUCAUAGGCUUGGUAACUUGGUCGGGAAGUAAUUAGGUAGCCAAAUCAAAAUAUAACUUAGUCUAUUUGGUUCUGUUUUCUCCAUAUAUCACUUGCAUCUAUAAUAUUUACUGGUCACUUGACGACGAAACAAUAGUUCAACAUCUAAGAAUAAAGUUGCAACAUUGCCAAUAA
Molecule: long non-coding RNA, 5907 nt
Organism: Brassica napus (rape)
Lineage: Eukaryota; Viridiplantae; Streptophyta; Magnoliopsida; Brassicales; Brassicaceae
Exons: 2
Source: RefSeq, a predicted model, not a curated record